Molecule: transfer RNA, 73 nt
Filed under: Pangasianodon gigas (Mekong giant catfish)
Lineage: Eukaryota; Metazoa; Chordata; Actinopteri; Siluriformes; Pangasiidae
Description: tRNA-Glu
Source: RNAcentral
UCCCUGGUGGUCUAGUGGUUAAGGAUCUGGUGCUCUCUCCACCAUGGCCUGGGUUUGAUUCCUGGGCAGCAAA